This is a long non-coding RNA of Alnus glutinosa, 483 nucleotides long. RefSeq lists it as uncharacterized. The record is from RefSeq and is a predicted model, not a curated record. NCBI's taxonomy places the organism in Eukaryota, Viridiplantae, Streptophyta, Magnoliopsida, Fagales, Betulaceae. The transcript has 2 exons.
GCAGGACAAGAAGAAGACAGUAGCUGAGAUGUUGGCUAUUAAGACAGCGGCUGAGAUAAUUUGAUUUGCGAAAAGAAGACGAAAGAGAAAGAAGAGACAAAGCCUGAAUUUCAAGGAAAAGGAAAGUCGUUUUCAUCGAUUAUUGAAAGCCUUACAGGUAAAAUUGUGAAAGGUGUGAGGCUGGAAGACUCUAGAAACCACGCAGUAGAUGAGGAUUGAAGUUUGUUUCAAAGUGACUUAUAGCUUUCUUGUAGGGUUUGCAAAAUGGCGACCAUGGAGAACAAGAGCUUGAUAGGCCUCGUGAAUCGGAUACAGAGCGCGACGGACGUGGCUGAUUCGUUCACAGGUGUGGCUGAUUCAAGACCUUCGGUUGUGGCUCAAGAAUUGCAUCAUCGUCCAUAGGUUGAUGUUUCUCUGUUGCUAUAAUUUUUUUUAUGAUUUGUUUGUUUCCUAAGAAAAUCGAUGAAAUGAGAAAUUUAGUGA